This 73-nucleotide small RNA is filed under the name Marmota monax (woodchuck). RNAcentral describes it as "U2 spliceosomal RNA". The record is from Rfam by way of RNAcentral. Lineage: Eukaryota; Metazoa; Chordata; Mammalia; Rodentia; Sciuridae.
AUCGCUUCUCGGCCUUUUGGCUAAGAUCAAGUGUAGUGAUUUAGCUACAUCAAUAUUUACAGUAGCACAAUUC